UGGGGAAUAUUGGACAAUGGGGCGCAAGCCUGAUCCAGCCAUACCGCGUGGGUGAAGAAGGCCUUCGGGUUGUAAAGCCCUUUUGUUGGGAAAGAAAUCCAGCUGGUUAAUACCCGGUUGGGAUGACGGUACCCAAAGAAUAAGCACCGGCUAACUUCGUGCCAGCAGCCGCGGUAAUACGAAGGGUGCAAGCGUUACUCGGAAUUACUGGGCGUAAAGCGUGCGUAGGUGGUCGUUUAAGUCUGUUGUGAAAGCCCUGGGCUCAACCUGGGAACUGCAGUGGAAACUGGACGACUAGAGUGUGGUAGAGGGUAGCGGAAUUCCUGGUGUAGCAGUGAAAUGCGUAGAGAUCAGGAGGAACAUCCAUGGCGAAGGCAGCUACCUGGACCAACACUGACACUGAGGCACGAAAGCGUGGGGAGCAAACAGGAUUAGAUACCCUGGUAGUCCACGCCCUAAACGAUGCGAACUGGAUGUUGGGUGCAAUUUGGCACGCAGUAUCGAAGCUAACGCGUUAAGUUCGCCGCCUGGGGAGUACGGUCGCAAGACUGAAACUCAAA
This 560-nucleotide ribosomal RNA is filed under the name uncultured bacterium. RNAcentral describes it as "partial 16S ribosomal RNA". It matches the Rfam family "Bacterial small subunit ribosomal RNA", at positions 355 to 905 of the family's 1533-position model. The record is from RNAcentral.